Molecule: ribosomal RNA, 258 nt
Filed under: uncultured bacterium
Lineage: Bacteria
Description: partial small subunit ribosomal RNA
Rfam family: Bacterial small subunit ribosomal RNA
Source: RNAcentral
AGAAUCAACGCUGGCGGCGUGCCUAACACAUGCAAGUCGAACGAGAAAGUGGAGCAAUCCAUGAGUAAAGUGGCGACCGGGUGAGUAACACGUGACUAACCUACCUUCGAGUGGGGGAUAACCUAGGGAAACCUGGGCUAAUACCGCAUAACAUCUUUGGAUCGGAAGAACUGGAGAUCAAAGGGCAAUUCGCUUGAAGAGGGGUCGCGGCUGAUUAGCUAGUUGGCGGGGUAAUGGCCGCCAAGGCUUUGAUCGGUA